UAUUGUUUUUAUUAGGUCUUUCCACCUUUCCGUGGAAAGACCUAUUGAAUUUGUUCUGAUUAUUAUUAUUAUUAUUUUUUUUUUUUUUUCUUCCGCCUAAUUUUUUUUCUUGCGUAUUAUUGAUGUUUCAAAAGAUGUCGCUUAGAUAUUUGGAAUAUGGUAUCGUAUAGUUUAUACGCUUUAAAAAUUUACAACUGUGUAACAAAAUACUUUACGUUGUAAGAGUUAUCUCCCCAAACACUGUUUUUCUUGUGGCCACUACUCCUUCGCAACCGUUAAAGAUUACGACAAAUUUAUUUUACCAAAUUGCUCGUUACAUCUUCAGGAUUAGGAUAUUCAUUUGGACCGAAGCUUUAUGGAGACUCCAUAUGAGAGUUAUUCCCCCUUUUCCAUUUAAUUAAGUGAUAUGCAUUUCUAAAUGGUAAACCAUAAGUGAUAAAGACAUAGGGUCUUUAGAUUUGGGGUUCUUGGUCGAAAAUAAUAAAAAUGAGGUCAAGGUCAAAGGUCAAGGUCAUAUUCUAAAUUUUGAUUUUGGCUUAUUUUCAUUUAUUUUCAAAUACCUUAUGACAUAUCGACAAAUAAUUUUUCAUAAAUUGUUAGUUGCGACAUGUCCUUACUUAUAUAUUUUGAUUGAAAGGGUGCGCAGACAAUAAAUGGGAGUUUUUGCCCAUCUUACAUAUAGAAUUACGCAUAAAGUGAUAUUACUAAUAAACCAAACAUAUUAAAGACCUUGGGUCUUUUAAUUUAAGGUCCUUGGUUUGUGAACUUGAAAUUGAGGUCAAGGUCAUAGGUUAAUAUGACGUUCUAGAUUUUGACCUUUGCUUUAAAUUCAUAUAAAUACAUCAUAAAGCCAUAGGAACUAAUAUUUUAAACUGAUUUUUAAUAUUUCAAUAUCAAAAUAGAUCUUUACUAGUGGAAAGACCUACAAUUGUUCUCUGAACAAUUGGUUUUUAAU
RNAcentral lists this long non-coding RNA (955 nucleotides) under Mytilus galloprovincialis (Mediterranean mussel). Lineage: Eukaryota; Metazoa; Mollusca; Bivalvia; Mytilida; Mytilidae. The record is from RNAcentral.